AUGAAGGUAGCUCGCGCGCCGUCGCCGGACACUGUCUGCGAGGGCGCCGGCUCGAACGAAAGGGAUAAGACUGCUGCCGAAAAAGGGUGCUCUAGGAAGAGAGGCCACGCAGCAAUAUCAGACAUCGUACACGAGGGCGACGGCUCGAACAAAAGGGGUGAGACGUCCACUGAAAAAGAGUGCUCAAGGAAGAGAGGCUGCGUGGCGUCACCAGACAUCGUCCAUGAGGACGCCGGCUCCAAUGAAAGGGAUGAGACAACCACCGAAAAAGGUUUAUCUAGGGUUAAAGAGCUGUGGCAGUGCUCAGAAUGGGUGAUGGAGCAGCAGCGUCAUGGAGCUCUCCUUCUCUGGUGUGGCCGCGCUCAGAACAGGGAAGAGAGCAGCGGCGGGCUGGCGAUGGCUGGCCUUCCUUACCUGUUUAGCGGUGGCACCAGCUCAGGUAUCCCAUGGGUAUCCCACAGGUAUUUGGACAUAUCUGAUGCGUACAAACGCCAUGCCAGUUUCCAGAAGUAUCCACGGUGCUCGAGGAAGAUAGGCCGCUUGACGUCGCCAGCCAUUGUCCACGAGGGUGGCGGCUCAAAUGAAAGGGAUGAGCCAACUGCCAAAAAAGUAAAUUCUGAGACUCAUUUGGAUAAGAAGACCAUCAAAGUCAUGACAUACAACGUAUGGUUUCGGGAGGAUUUGGAACUGACGAAAAGGAUGUAUGCUCUUGGAAAUCUUAUUCAGCACCACAACCCAGAUCUUAUAUGCUUCCAGGAGGUUACACCAAACAUAUAUAUGCUUCUCCAAAAAUCUGGCUGGUGGCAAGAAUACAAAUGCUCGCUGUCAGCUAGGAUGGCCAUGCAGAGACAAUAUUACUGCAUGCAGAUGAGCAAGUUGCCUGUGAAUUCUUUCGAAUGCAUCCCAUUUUCCAACUCAGUCAUGGAAAGGGAGCUGUGCGUGGCAGACAUCAACAUUGGAGGCGCUACCAAGUUGGUGUUGGCCACAAGCCACCUGGAGAGCCCCUGCGCGUGGAAUCAGAUGUACAGCAAGGAACGAGUAACUCAGGCGAAUGCAUCCAUGAGGAUAUUGGACAAGUUCUGCAACGUGAUAUUCUGCGGAGACAUGAACUGGGACGACAAAGGCGACGGGCCAUUCCCUCUCUCAGACGGCUGGGUCGAUGCCUGGGCCGAGCUCAAGCCAGGCGAGGACGGCUGGACGUACGACACGAGGGCCAACGGCAUGCUGGCAGGCAACCGCAAGCUGCAGAAGAGGCUGGACCGGUUCGUGUGCAAGCUGCCGGAUUUCGAGAUCGACACCAUCGAGAUGAUCGGGAAGGAGGCGAUACCUGGGAUAUCACACUACAAGGAGAAGACAGUCCGCAAGGUAGUCCAGAACAUUGAGUAUCCUGUGUUACCUAGUGACCACUUCGGGCUUGUUCUGAGCAUCACCCACGCUUCAUCAGGUUGA
Molecule: ribosomal RNA, 1449 nt
Filed under: Triticum aestivum (bread wheat)
Lineage: Eukaryota; Viridiplantae; Streptophyta; Magnoliopsida; Poales; Poaceae
Description: partial small subunit ribosomal RNA
Source: RNAcentral